UAAGCCGGGCGGCGGAAGUGGCCGGGGCGACGGGCCUGAGGUUUAGGAGUGAAGGAAGUGGCACUGGGUGACUGGCAGCAUCCUGGGAGGCUAUUCUCUGCAAACAGGGAUUCCAGGAAGGGGACAGCAGGCACAGUUGGAGGUGGGUCUACUGCAUCCAGUAAGCUGACCUUCCCCACUCCUGUCCACUCUUUGGCUCCCAAAGUAUUGGCAGCCAGGUCUAUAUGCUCCACGCAGGAGACUGGAAGACUCUUCCCAGGGAGCAUGACCAACCCAAGAGGAAAGACCUAGGGAUAUGGAUGGAGGUUCCCCAAAUAACAGCCUACCCAGAAUCAAGCUCAAAUUUGAUGAGCCCCACUCACAAACAGCCAUCUGGUCUACCAUUCCUCAUCACCAGCAGACAGACAAACAUAACCUGACAUCUCAGAGAGCUUCUUCCUGGAAGACAGAGCCAAAAGAAACAGGAAGAAGAACCCAGAGCACAGCAACAGAGCAGAAGCAUAGCACUUCACGCCUCCAGACCAGCGAGGACAAUCUCCCUGGAAGAUGAAGCAAGAAGACACCCUCCCCUUUCUAAAAAGAAGCAUUUGUACGAGAAGAAAGGGCUCCUGGAAAUGAACACUAUGACAGCAGAAACGAAAGCCUCAAUGGAAGAAAUCACACAGAAAGUGUCACCGGGUUGACGUGCGUUAUAACAAAAUAGCUCUAACCAAGGAGGUCAACGGAAGACCCGGACCAGCAAUCUUGGUUCCGCGAUAGUAAGCAAAGAAUAGCAAACUACCGCUUUAAGCUUAAGCAUAAAGCUAAGUCUAUUUAAGCAUAGGUACACUCCCAGAGAGGGGGAGAGAGAGAGGGAGAGAGAAAGCGGGCUGUUUCAGCGAAGUGAAGCAAGACCAAAGCAAAGUUUAUCAAAGCAAAGCGGGCCUCUCACUGUCGCGGCAUCUCCCGUUGCAGAGCACAGACUCCAGACGCGCAGGCUCAGCGGCCAUGGCUUACGGGCCCAGCCACUCAGCGACAUGUGGAAUCUUCCCGGACCGGGGCACGAACCCACGAACCCGUGUCCCCAGCAUCGGCAGGCGGACUCUCAACCACUGCGCCACCAGGGAAGCCCCCAGGCUUAAGGGUGCUUUUAAGGAGCAUUUUUCAGGGAGGCGGGGGCAAGUGACAGGGGAUCAUUAUUUGAUCGACAGUCCCAAGCUAUGUAACAAGUUUACUGCUGCGCAUUCUCUCAUCCUUCAAUCGCUAAGAAACGCCCACGGGGGCGGGGGGCAAAACCAUACAUGGAUUUUAUUAUAAUGAUGGUAUAAUGAGUUUGGGUUUACUAUAGGUUAUACACCUGUCUGGUCUGGGCAUGCGCAGCCCAGGGAAGUUCCCUUGUGUUACUGUGCCCCUCUUUAACAGGAUAAGCUGCCCACAAUAUGACCAUAGUUUCAACUGUUCUGGGUGGGGUCAGGGGAGAGUCCCCAGAUGGUUGGGUGUGACUCGAUUGCUUCUUCUCGUCUUUCUCGCCACUGUCACCUCCUUGCUGCUAAUGUCUGACUAACUACCUAACAAAAGGAGAGCAGAAAUGUAAAGGUGGGAAACAGGAGAGAACAUACGUGAGCAUUCAAGGGCCAGGCUCAAAGUCUGACAGCCUGAAUUAAGGACUUUAGGAAGAGGUAAGAGUAAACCCUCAAGAGUUUGCUUAGGGAUGAGUCAUCAGUAGAAACAACUGAUUAGUGAAAUAAUCAAUGACAUCAUUUGCCAGGAUUGAAGGAUGGGAGUUUCCAGACUGAGGGCCCUUUGAGUGCCCAACACAGUAACAACCGAGGGACAUGGAAGCACCACGUUGUGAAACUUCAGGAGAAGAUCUUAAAAACUUCCAGGGAGGAAAAUGUCCCCACUGCUUGUAAAGGAUUAGAAAUUAGAAUAGCUGUGGAUUUCUUCACAACACUCCUAGGAGGGAAGAGAAAGGGAGCAAUGCCUUCAGAGUUUGAAGGAAGGAGAUUCUGACCUAGAAUUCUAUGUCCAGGCAAACUACAAAUCAAGUAUGAGGGCAAAAUGAAGACAUUUUCAGCUUUGCAAUAUCUUUAAAAAAAUGAUCUCCCAGACACCUCUUUUCAGCUUCACCAAAACAGGAAAGUGAAUCCAAGAACAAGAAUAUAUGGCUGAGGAGGGCAACACAGGGAGCGAGAAGGGCUCCUCCUGGAGAAGGAGGAACACCCCAAACAGAAAGACUACUUACCCAGCCUGGGAGCUAGCUCCUCUCCCUGACUACCCUCACCCCACAGGGAACAGGUGGCCACGGAAAGUCCACGGAGGCACGGGUGCGCCGUGGUUUGGAGCAGCGGUACCCAAGUGUGGCUGAGAAGGAAUGAUGUGCCCUAACUGGGUUUACAGGGAAGCCUGAGGACCCUUUUAGCAGAAGGCAGGAGCUUUCUAAUCCCUGCAAGGCAGUAGGGGAGACCUGCGGGAACUAGAGGAAUUCUCCAGAAAUGCCGCAGGCUUGAAUAUGUCUUCCUCUCCUGAGGCCGGAGGGGGAGGGGGGACGUAAGACUUGUUUCUCCAUUUACCGUUUAUCUUGAACUUUGUACUUUAUGUGUGCUGCAUCCUGUGUUUGUAGACUUGUGACUGUGUAUAUACACACACACAACACACAAAAGUGUCGUCGCCUGGAGGCUUUCUCCCCGUCCCGCCCUGACAUCUCAGCACCCACCGUCCACGCGCUCCACCGGGUCGGGAGGUGACGGCGCUCGCCUCCGCGUCUGAAGCUAGGAGGCUCCUCCUCCGCCUUCUGGUCGCCGUCCCGUCUUCUUAGGAAGGGGACACAACCCGACUGGCCAGCCGGCCGCCCCGAUUCUCCCUCGGUGGGGACGCUUGCCCACACCGGCCGGUACCGGGGAAUACUCACGGACCCUUCUGCACUCGCCCUCGCCCUCCCCGGCGGCCUUCCGCUACCAUUCUAGGGCGUGGGCCAGACCCAUAGGGGCUGCCCCAGGCCCAAACCAGAGGGGCGCGCGGAGCCAAGGGGGGCCGACGCAGGGGGACAGCCUUGCCCCACGCCCCUUGCUCCACCUCCAGUCCCGCCUUCCGCCCCGCCCCGGGCCCCCUUCCUCU
Lagenorhynchus albirostris (white-beaked dolphin) is the source of this 3096-nucleotide long non-coding RNA. RefSeq lists it as uncharacterized. Lineage: Eukaryota; Metazoa; Chordata; Mammalia; Artiodactyla; Delphinidae. The transcript is spliced from 3 exons. The record is from RefSeq and is a predicted model, not a curated record.